Molecule: ribosomal RNA, 496 nt
Filed under: uncultured bacterium
Lineage: Bacteria
Description: partial 16S ribosomal RNA
Rfam family: Bacterial small subunit ribosomal RNA
Source: RNAcentral
GAUGAACGCUGGCGGCGUGCCUAAUACAUGCAAGUCGAGCGAACAGACGAGGAGCUUGCUCCUCUGACGUUAGCGGCGGACGGGUGAGUAACACGUGGAUAACCUACCUAUAAGACUGGGAUAACUUCGGGAAACCGGAGCUAAUACCGGAUAAUAUAUUGAACCGCAUGGUUCAAUAGUGAAAGACGGUUUUGCUGUCACUUAUAGAUGGAUCCGCGCCGCAUUAGCUAGUUGGUAAGGUAACGGCUUACCAAGGCAACGAUGCGUAGCCGACCUGAGAGGGUGAUCGGCCACACGGGAACUGAGACACGGUCCAGACUCCUACGGGGGGCAGCAGUAGGGAAUCUUCCGCAAUGGGCGAAAGCCUGACGGAGCAACGCCGCGGGAGUGAUGAAGGUCUUCGGAUCGUAAAACUCUGUUAUUAGGGAAGAACAAAUGUGUAAGUAACUAUGCACGUCUUGACGGUACCUAAUCAGAAAGCCACGGCGAACUACGU